GGGGAAUAUUGGACAAUGGGCGCAAGCCUGAUCCAGCCAUGCCGCGUGGGUGAAGAAGGCCUUCGGGUUGUAAAGCCCUUUUGUUGGGAAAGAAAAGCAGCCGGCCAAUACCCGGUUGUUCUGACGGUACCCAAAGAAUAAGCACCGGCUAACUUCGUGCCAGCAGCCGCGGUAAUACGUAGGUGGCAAGCGUUGUCCGGAAUUAUUGGGCGUAAAGCGCGCGCAGGUGGUUUCUUAAGUCUGAUGUGAAAGCCCACGGCUUAACCGUGGAGGGUCAUUGGAAACUGGGAGACUUGAGUGCAGAAGAGGAAAGUGGAAUUCCAAGUGUAGCGGUGAAAUGCGUAGAGAUUUGGAGGAACACCAGUGGCGAAGGCGACUUUCUGGUCUGCAACUGACGCUGAGGCACGAAAGCGUGGGGAGCAAACA
RNAcentral lists this ribosomal RNA (426 nucleotides) under uncultured bacterium. RNAcentral's name for it is "bacterial SSU rRNA". It matches the Rfam family "Bacterial small subunit ribosomal RNA", at positions 356 to 774 of the family's 1533-position model. The record is from RNAcentral.